RNAcentral lists this small RNA (1005 nucleotides) under Arabidopsis thaliana (thale cress). RNAcentral's name for it is "ATSL111880". Lineage: Eukaryota; Viridiplantae; Streptophyta; Magnoliopsida; Brassicales; Brassicaceae. The record is from RNAcentral.
UUUUUGUUUUCUGUUUUUGCUUUAUAGUAAACUCAUUAUGAUUUGUCUACUCAAGUACAGUUUUCAGAGAACUUUACUAUUGUUCUGUUUCAUUACGAUGGGGUAACAAGUGCAUGGAAUGAUGAGUUUGAGUGGUCGAGGAAUGCAAUACACAUAAGUGUCAAAAAGCAGACAAAAUGGUAUCAAUAUCUUUGCUUUAACCACUUUUUUUUAUCUGGUUUCUUGACUCUCUCAUAUUGUGAAUAUAAGGUGGUAUGCAAAGAGAUUCUUGCACUCGGACAUUGUAGCACUAUACGAUUAUAUAUUCAUAUGGGAUGAAGAUCUUGGAGUUGAUCACUUUAAUGCAGAAGAGUGAGUUUCUUCUCUGACUCUUCUCACUUCCAUUUAAAUUUUUUUUACUAUGUUUGUUGUUAUAGAUACAUACACAUAGUGAAGAAGCACGGCCUUGAGAUUUCGCAGCCUGGUUUGGACCCAUAGACUGGGUUUUACUGGCAGAUCACAAAAAGAAGAGAACAUAGUGAAAUCCACAAGUAUAUACAACGUCCUUUAUAGAUUAUUUUUGUUACAUUACAAAAUGGUUCUGAAUAUGGCUUGAACCUUAGCAGGGAGACAGAUGAGAAACUCGAGUGGUGCUCUAAUCCUCCCCGACCUCCAUGUAUGCAACUAUCUAUAACCUCUAUAUUUUUGAAAUAAUUGGCGCUUCCGUAACCAACCUCGGAAAAACGACCGGAACCCAUUUGGUCUUUGUGUGUCGUCCAAAGCUGUAAGUGUCCACGAUUUCACAAUCCAAUCAACUUUCGUUCCAUAAUCAGCUAAACUAGUAAAAAUUUCCUUUUGCCAGUAUCCUAUAAAUGAAUUGUCGGGCCCUAAACUUAACCACCAAUUUCCACUUUGAGAUCAUAGCAAUUUAAAAAUAAAAUUACUAGCAUUUUUGAUGUUUCUUUGUUCUUAUAUUCCUACUAUUACUACUUUUGUAUUUUUUCGGAUAAAGUCACUUCUAUAGUU